RNAcentral lists this transfer RNA (92 nucleotides) under Candidatus Thorarchaeota archaeon. RNAcentral's name for it is "tRNA-Ser". It matches the Rfam family "tRNA". Rfam says of the family: Transfer RNA (tRNA) molecules are approximately 80 nucleotides in length. Their secondary structure includes four short double-helical elements and three loops (D, anti-codon, and T loops). Further hydrogen bonds mediate the characteristic L-shaped molecular structure. tRNAs have two regions of fundamental functional importance: the anti-codon, which is responsible for specific mRNA codon recognition, and the 3' end, to which the tRNAs corresponding amino acid is attached (by aminoacyl-tRNA synthetases). tRNAs cope with the degeneracy of the genetic code in two manners: having more than one tRNA (with a specific anti-codon) for a particular amino acid; and 'wobble' base-pairing, i.e. permitting non-standard base-pairing at the 3rd anti-codon position. The record is from RNAcentral. Lineage: Archaea; Promethearchaeati; Candidatus Thorarchaeota.
GGAAGUGUGGCAGAGUCUGGUUUAUUGCGUCAGUCUUGAAAACUGAAGAGCCCUCACGGGCUCCGUGGGUUCGAAUCCUACCACUUCCGCCA